Molecule: transfer-messenger RNA, 110 nt
Filed under: Alistipes sp.
Lineage: Bacteria; Pseudomonadati; Bacteroidota; Bacteroidia; Bacteroidales; Rikenellaceae
Description: partial transfer-messenger RNA
Rfam family: transfer-messenger RNA
About the family: Bacterial tmRNA, also known as 10Sa RNA or SsrA, is named for its dual tRNA and mRNA-like properties. Its role is to liberate the mRNA from a stalled ribosome.
Source: RNAcentral
GGGGGUGACCGGUUUUGACAGCAGGUAGAGUUUGAUUGUAAGCACGCCGAGCAUUGUGUGGGGUCUCGUAAAUCGCAACACUCAAACUACAAAUGGCAAUAAUAGCUAUG